Ameiurus melas (black bullhead) is the source of this 72-nucleotide non-coding RNA. The record is from the annotation of a GenBank genome assembly. NCBI's taxonomy places the organism in Eukaryota, Metazoa, Chordata, Actinopteri, Siluriformes, Ictaluridae.
GUCACAGUGGCUUAGUGGUCAAAACAUUUUCUCCUACCUCCAGGGUUGAGGGUUCAAAUCCCGCCUUUGCCC